Long non-coding RNA from Labeo rohita (rohu), 1207 nucleotides. RefSeq lists it as uncharacterized. The record is from RefSeq and is a predicted model, not a curated record. The transcript has 4 exons. Lineage: Eukaryota; Metazoa; Chordata; Actinopteri; Cypriniformes; Cyprinidae.
CAUGUGGAUACAAACCACAAACUGAUAAGGUUGGUUUCUAAUUUGGUUUCAAAAUUGCACAUUACCAAAACUGAUAAAUAAAUAAAUGUAUAUAUAUUUUUAAUGUGUUUUCUUUCAAUUAGAUACAACCUUGUCAUUUUUGGGGGCAUUGAUGGUUUUUCCAGAAAGAUCAUGUACUUGGAUGCAGUGAACAAUAACAAGACAUCAACUGGCUUCACCUUUUUUUAUAGACUCUGUUCAGAGGAAUGAACUGCCUUCAAGGAUUGAGAGGCUCUGGCGUGAUGUGUGGACAGCAGUGACUGUCACAUAUUACGAUGUCCUGCAUAGUCUUGAAGAAGACGGCCUGCUGGACAUCUCAAACACACCACACAUCUUCCUUGUCCACUUUGUGUUUUUACCCCGUCUCCGCAAAGACUUGCAGACAUUUGCUGAGGGCUGGAAUCAUCAGCCCCUACACACUGAAGGAAAUAUGAGCCCCAGCAGUUGUGGGAGGUGGGACGUUUACGGCACAGCAUUCAUGAACCUGAGAAUGUAGAGAUAGGAAUGAUUUUCAUUUCUCUUAUUUAUGACACAGCACAGAGAGUGUGCAAAUGGGAUAUUUUAAAUGAUUUUAUCUUAUGAAUUCCUAGGAUGUAGAGGACUAUGACAUAGACUGGGAGAGUGUUUAUUAUUUAACCCAAGAAGAAUCAUUAACAGAAUGUGGAGCUGUGGUCCCUGAACUCUCUCCCCCCUAAAUGAGCAAGAAAUGCGACACCUCCAAGCCUCUGUUGAUCCUACAGCUACAUCAUACUCACAUGGUCGAGACAUCUACGUUCAGUGCCUUAAUAUUUUGCAUUGAGAAACAGUAAUUUGAACACGAAAUGUUAAUUAAUAUAUUCCUGGCCAAGAAAUAAUAGUUAAGACAAGCUUGUGUUGUUAUAUUCUGAGAAAUUCCUGGCCAAGACAAAAGACCUCCAACAUCACCAUUUUGAAGUCUUCAUAGUGUAACAUGUGUUUAACUGGUAGGAUAAUGGUAUUGCUACAUGCUGCUACAGUUGGGUAACAGAUCCUGUGCUCACUAUAUUUGACAUCACAGUUCUGGUUGAACUGCACUGUGAUUUUGAAUCGUUUCUUCUCCUGAGACAGAAUGGGAACGUGUCUCUGCCCUGUGACCCACUGAAGGAAGGUCUUCGGACACAUGAAGGAUGAGAAGCUGCCUCUAUACCAG